Panicum virgatum (switchgrass) is the source of this 450-nucleotide long non-coding RNA. RefSeq lists it as uncharacterized. The record is from RefSeq and is a predicted model, not a curated record. Lineage: Eukaryota; Viridiplantae; Streptophyta; Magnoliopsida; Poales; Poaceae. The transcript has 3 exons.
UCGGGCCAUGCCGGCGAGGACCACCACCACUCCAGCCGCCGGCGAUUGAGCAGCCUGUGGUGCGGCGGUGAUCGUUGCAGGCUGGCCGCCACGUCCUGCAGCAAGCAGGCGCAGAUGUCAGUUUUAAGGGUCGCCACGUCCUACAGCAACCAACUCGAUCAUGAGUCCGGCGGCGGCAGCACUUCGCCCUAGAGCCGAUCAUCAGCCGAUGCAAAUCUUCUUCCUUCGCAUGUAAAACCCCUAGGGGCGAUCCGCUUUGAUCCGUUACCUGAUUUAAGGGGCGGAGCGAGUCCAGGAAGGGAUCGAACCGGACACCUUGCAGGCCGAAUCGGCUGCCUGUUCCAAGGCCUGGACAAGUUUUGGGCUUGGUGGGGACAAAGGGUAUUGGGAAGUCAACUGCACUUAAAAUUCUGGCUGGGAAGAUGAAGCCCAACUUGGGUAAAUUCACGG